AUGUAUAGCAGUAGCGUGGGACAACCGGCGCUACUGCUAUACGUUAGCUGUAGCGCCUUAUUAGUAGCGCUGGUGCCCGCGCUACUGAGAGGCCCAAAACCCUCGCUGCUGGUAGGCUUUUCCCUAGUAGUGCUUGGUGAUUUUAAUGAAAUCCUCUUGGGAAGUGAGAAGGAAGGCGGGGCACUGAGGUCCCAAAGAAAUAUGCAGAAUUUUCAUGAUGCACUGGAUGAUUGUAACUUGUUUGAUAUGGGUUACGUCGGGGACAUCUUCACAUGGCGAAGGGGAAGGAUCCAGGAGAGGCUUGACCGGGCUGUAUGUGACCAACGAUGGGAUAAUCUUUUCCCUAUGGCGGGGGUGAUCCAUGGCGAUUUCUCCAAAUCAGAUCACAGACCGAUAGUG
RNAcentral lists this ribosomal RNA (399 nucleotides) under Triticum aestivum (bread wheat). Its description in RNAcentral is "partial small subunit ribosomal RNA". Lineage: Eukaryota; Viridiplantae; Streptophyta; Magnoliopsida; Poales; Poaceae. The record is from RNAcentral.